AGUGAACGCUGGCGGUAGGCCUAACACAUGCAAGUCGAACGGCAGCACAGUAAGAGCUUGCUCUUACGGGUGGCGAGUGGCGGACGGGUGAGGUAUACAUCGGAAUCUACUUUUUCGUGGGGGAUAACGUAGGGAAACUUACGCUAAUACCGCAUACGACCUACGGGUGAAAGCAGGGGUUCUUCUGACCUUGCGCGAUUGAAUGAGCCGAUGUCGGCUUAGCUAGUUGGCGGGGUAAAGGCCCACCCAAGCGACGAUCCGUAGCUGGUAUGAGAGGAUGGACAGCCAGACUGAAGCUGAGACUGAGUCGUGACUCCUACGGGAGGCAGCAGUGGGGAAUAUUAGACGAUGGACGCACGCCUGAUACAGCCAUACCGCGUGGGUGAAGAACGCCUUCGGGUUCUAAAGCCCUUUUGUUGGGAGAGAUAAGAAGCAGUUUAACCCCCCACUGUAAUGACGGUACCCAAAGAAUAAGCACCGGCUAACUUCGUG
RNAcentral lists this ribosomal RNA (492 nucleotides) under uncultured bacterium. Its description in RNAcentral is "partial 16S ribosomal RNA". It matches the Rfam family "Bacterial small subunit ribosomal RNA", at positions 29 to 507 of the family's 1533-position model. The record is from RNAcentral.